UGCAAGUCGAGCGGAUGAUGGGAGCUUGCUCCUGGAUUCAGCGGCGGACGGGUGAGUAAUGCCUAGGAAUCUGCCUGGUAGUGGGGGAUAACGUUCGGAAACGGACGCUAAUACCGCAUACGUCCUACGGGAGAAAGCAGGGGACCUUCGGGCCUUGCGCUAUCAGAUGAGCCUAGGUCGGAUUAGCUAGUUGGUGGGGUAAAGACCUACCAAGGUGAUGA
RNAcentral lists this ribosomal RNA (221 nucleotides) under uncultured eukaryote. RNAcentral describes it as "partial Bacterial small subunit ribosomal RNA". It matches the Rfam family "Bacterial small subunit ribosomal RNA", at positions 56 to 279 of the family's 1533-position model. The record is from RNAcentral.